RNAcentral lists this ribosomal RNA (497 nucleotides) under uncultured bacterium. RNAcentral's name for it is "partial 16S ribosomal RNA". It matches the Rfam family "Bacterial small subunit ribosomal RNA", at positions 28 to 507 of the family's 1533-position model. The record is from RNAcentral.
GAUGAACGCUGGCGGCGUGCCUAAUACAUGCAAGUCGAGCGAACGGACGAGAAGCUUGCUUCUCUGAUGUUAGCGGCGGACGGGUGAGUAACACGUGGAUAACCUACCUAUAAGACUGGGAUAACUUCGGGAAACCGGAGCUAAUACCGGAUAAUAUUUUGAACCGCAUGGUUCAAAAGUGAAAGACGGUCUUGCUGUAACUUAUAGAUGGAUCCGCGCUGCAUUAGCUAGUUGGUAAGGUAACGGCUUACCAAGGCAACGAUGCAUAGCCGACCGGAGGGGGUGAUCGGCCACACUGGAACUGAGACACGGUCCAGACUCCUACGGGAGGCAGCAGUAGGGAAUCUUCCGCAAUGGGCGAAAGCCUGGCGGAGCGACGCCGCGUGAGUGAUGAAGGUCUUCGGAUCGUAAUACUCUGUUAUUAGGGAAGAACAUAUGUGUAAGUAACUGUGCACAUCUUGACGGUACCUAAUCAGAAAGCCACGGCUAACUACGUG